This 628-nucleotide ribosomal RNA is filed under the name Orbilia cf. quercus 286. Its description in RNAcentral is "eukaryotic LSU rRNA". It matches the Rfam family "Eukaryotic large subunit ribosomal RNA", at positions 23 to 664 of the family's 3401-position model. Lineage: Eukaryota; Fungi; Ascomycota; Orbiliomycetes; Orbiliales; Orbiliaceae. The record is from RNAcentral.
ACCCGCUGAACUUAAGCAUAUCAAUAAGCGGAGGAAAAGAAACCAACAGGGAUUGCCUCAGUAACGGCGAGUGAAGCGGCAAGAGCUCAAAUUUGAAAUCUGGGGCCUUCGGCUCCCGAGUUGUAAUUUGAAGAGGGUGUUUCGGUUGCGGCCUUGGCCUAAGUUCCUUGGAACAGGACGUCAUGGAGGGUGAGAAUCCCGUACAUGGCUGAAGGCUUGCUUCCAUGUGAAACCCCUUCGAAGAGUCGAGUUGUUUGGGAAUGCAGCUCAAAAUGGGUGGUAAAUUUCAUCUAAAGCUAAAUAUUGGCGGGAGACCGAUAGCGCACAAGUAGAGUGAUCGAAAGAUGAAAAGCACUUUGAAAAGAGAGUUAAACAGUACGUGAAAUUGUUGAAAGGGAAGCGCUUGCAAUCAGACUCGCUUUCGGUUGAUCAGCGACGCCUUCUGGCGCGUGCACUCUGCCGUUUGCGGGCCAGCAUCGGUUGGAGCGGCGGGACAAAGGCGGCGGGAAUGUGGCUCCCCUCGGGGAGUGUUAUAGCCCGUCGUGUCAUACCGUCAGCCCCGACCGAGGUCCGCGGUUCGCCUAAGAUGCUGGCUUAAUGGUUGUAAGCAACCCGUCUUGAAACACGG